AGCGAACGCUGGCGGCGUGCUUAACACAUGCAAGUCGAGCGAAGGUGUUUCAAGGGUAACCUUGAGAUACACUUAGCGGCGGACGGGUGAGUAAUACGUGGAUAACUUACCUCUAGGCCUGGGAUAACCCCGGGAACUGGGGCUAAUACCUGAUAAGACCACAUUGUCUACGGACAAAGGGGUAAAAGGUGGCUGUGCAAACAGCUAUCGCCAAAAGAUAGGUUCACGUCCCAUCAGGCAGUGGUGAGGUAAUGGCUCACCAAACCAAAGACGGGUAGCCGGCCUUGGC
RNAcentral lists this ribosomal RNA (289 nucleotides) under uncultured bacterium. RNAcentral describes it as "partial 16S ribosomal RNA". It matches the Rfam family "Bacterial small subunit ribosomal RNA", at positions 29 to 297 of the family's 1533-position model. The record is from RNAcentral.